Molecule: long non-coding RNA, 1147 nt
Filed under: Brachypodium distachyon (stiff brome)
Lineage: Eukaryota; Viridiplantae; Streptophyta; Magnoliopsida; Poales; Poaceae
Description: long non-coding RNA (BDIS_LNC002354)
Source: RNAcentral
AUGAACACAUAUCAAAACUUUUUGUCUCUGUACAUGUAUAGGAGUAGUCGAGUGCUUAAUUAGAUUAGCAUGGUACUACUCCUGUGAGUAGCAGAAGUAAAGAUUAGAUUAGCAUUGUAAAAAGCCGUCGUAUCCUAUGAAUCCUGGGUCAUCUGUGCAUCCGGUGCUUUACAGCCUUCGAAUUGUAAUCGUGCCGGUCGACUCAAUUUUAGAAAGUUUUGCAGUUAAAAGCCCACUUUGAGCUCUCGACGGCGGCGGGCGACGAAGUCAGCACACGUCCAGGUCUCUGUCCAGCCCUGGCCACGCCCGUCACCUUUUUGCUUUGGCCUGACGCCAAGGCCGCCGCCAGCAACGAGGUGCUUUGGCCUGACGCCAAGGCCGCCGCCGGCAACGACGUCCUUGUCGGUUCGACUUGGAUAACCAGACGCUUGAACUGUACUUGAAUGGAGAAGUCCCAUAGAGCUAUCUCAAAGAUCAAUCUCCUUUUUGCGCUGCACUUAUCUGCAUGCCUCCCUCUGUUUCUCGUGUGCCAGAGCAUCAGAAUAUCAGACCAUCAUGUAUUACGCAUAAGGAACACCUCAAUUUCCAAUAAGAACAAGGCAAUAUGAAUUUGUUUCUAUCUGAAAUUUCCACUCACGACAAAAAAUACAGUCAUUCGUUUCUCAAAAUUCACCAACCAUGUACAUACACACUCUAAACUCCAAGGCUGCCUUUGUUUAGGCUGGAGCUAAUAACAAGCUAGCUGGAGCUGGAAGAAACUAAUUUUCUGCUGGAGCUGAACCUCGCUUGCUUUUCGUUUAGGGUAGCAGUGAAACUGUGGCUCUAGCUGGAUGGCAGUAGAAUGUCUGAAAUGGCCCUACUUGCUGCAAAUUUUGAUCAAAUGUUGAGUUUGUUGAUGUAAGUGCAACUGCCAAAUUUAAGAGUUGUUUUAAAAUACCUAAUAUUUAUGGGAUUUAUACGAGAUUGUGUGUUUUGGCUAGAUUUAGCAAGCGUUGCUUGAUUUCAAGGAGUAUUAUUAAAGUUAUAAUUAAGUACCGUAAAAAAUCAUGGUCACGGCAGAUAGAGAGCAAGGAAUGAAGAUGGAUUCAACAUACAAAUAUAAUUAAGAAGCAGCGUCGUGGCGUUGGUCGUGGAACAAGAAGCGGCG